RNAcentral lists this long non-coding RNA (2573 nucleotides) under Marmota monax (woodchuck). The record is from RNAcentral. Lineage: Eukaryota; Metazoa; Chordata; Mammalia; Rodentia; Sciuridae.
UUUCCUGUGUCCUAGGAAACAUUUUUUAUUUGGUACAUGUUUUCUUAACCAUAUUUGACUUUUUUUCCUAAAAUGACACGUUGACAUAAGUAUACUCCAGGCCUCAAUUCUUAGUAGCAGGGAUUUAGGAUAGUAAAAAGAUGGGUAACAUUCUAGUAGUUUUUAUCUUAAUCAUCUGCCAGCAGUUAGAAAAUAUCAUUUUAUGAAUUGCUUUUCUCAUCAAAUGGUAUACAAAUCAUUCUCUACUACCCAUUUAGAGCAGCCUGGGAGGUUUUCAGUUUGAUUUGUUCUGUUACCAACACAAGAUGGCCAGAUACCGUUGCAUUGAAGGCCAAAAUAGGAAUUCAUAAAAUUCUGUUACAAGUUCUUAAAACCAUUCAUAGCAUGCAGGUUUUGUAGACUGUCUCCACACUGAAACUAAUGCCUGAUUCAUGGACAUAAAGGGACCAAGUAAACAGAAUUAGUGAUUUUAAUUUUUGUUUUUAACAGAAGAGUCUCUUAUGUACUCAUAUGUCGGGUUGGCCUGUCAAGUGAGUUUGCUUUGUGAAAGGAUUAAUUUCGUUGGCUGUGUAGCCUUUAUGUAGUCAGCAAACUGAGGAAUCCUCUAGCAUUUUUAAGAGGUGGCAAUUUUAGUUAUGGAGAAAGAAACCAAUAAAGGUAAUAAUGCAUGGAAGAGGAGGUAGAUACAGGUUUUUUUUUUUGUUUGUUUUAUUUAUUUUUGUGUAGGGUCUCACUGUGUUAUCCAGGGUGGUUUAGAACUCAAAACUCAAGUAAGCCUUUUGAGUAGCUGGGACCACAGGUGUGAUCUACCAUACCCAGCAGGUGUUUAGAUCCCUAUCAAAAUUGUAAGGUAGGCAACCAGGGAAGACUGCAGAAAGUGCCUGGUCCCUCCCAUGACCUAGAAUUGUGGGCUGGAAAGUUUGGGAGUUUCCCUUGAAGUUUCAGUGCUUGAUUUAGUCAUCUUUCAGGAUCAUUUAAGUAAAAACUUUACCGUCAUAACUUGAAUGCAACUAAUUUGUGUUAAUUACAGGUCCUGUGGUAUUUUGUCUUAAAAUGAAGUUUUAACCCCGAAAUUUUCUAAAAUAGUAGGUGUACUAAUAAAUGAGUGAUAUCCUUGCUUGUGUUGUGAAAUGUGUGGCUUGGAAAGCAGAUUUCUAGUGUUAUAUUUUGUUGCUUAUAGGAAGAUGAGAAAGAACUUUGAGGGGUUUUGUUUGUUUUUUGGUACUGUGAUUGAACCCAGGGGUGCUGAACCACUGAGCCACAUCCCUAACUGCUUUUUAUAUUUUAUUAGAGACAGUUUCACUGAGUUGCAUAGUGCCUUGCUAAGUUGCCUAGGUUGGCUUUGAACUGGAGAUCCUCCUACCUUAUCCUCCUGAGCCUCUGGGAUUGUUUGUAUCUUUUUUUUUUUCCCCAAGAAUUCAGCCUUUCUUUCUUUCUUUCUUCAUUCAUUCAUUCAUUCAUUUUGUGUGUGUGUGUGUGUGUGUUGCUGAAGAUUAACCCAAGUGCCACGUAUGUGGUAGGCAAGUGCUCUACCACUGACUUACAGGCCCAGCCCUCCUCUCUUGUUUGAGACAGGGGUCUCAGUUGCUUAGGGCCUCCCUAAAUUGCUGAGGCUCACCUUGAACUUGAGAUCCUCCUGGCUCAGCCUCCCAAACUGCUGGGAUUAUAGGCAACUGCUGAGUUGAAUGGGGAAAUUUGUGGAAUAAGUCAACAAUUUAACUUGAUUUCCACAGACAUGCCAACCUUGUUAUAAGAUCCUUAGAGUUCUUAAGUUAGCUGUUCUGAUUCUAGGAUAGUAGACAAGCAUACUGAAGAAUUGGGAUGAAGAAGACCCCUUUUGUUUUGAAAACUAAUAACUGUUAGGUUGUUAAAGGGAUCCUAUGCAAGCACCUUUAGAAAAGUGAUCCCCAGUUCUAACCUGAAUCAGGAAAUCAAAUCCGAUCUUUUCUAAAAUUUCAUUGAGUUUUACUAGGCUCGUAAUUGAUACAACUAAUACUUUGACAUUGAAUGUCAGCUGUGUACCAGGUAGGAAUCUAGCACAUAGCAUAGAAAUGAUCAGAUGAGGGGCUGCAGUUGUGGCUAAAUGGUAGAGUGCUUACCUAGCAUGUGUGAGGCACUGGGUUCAGUCCUCAGCACCACAUAAAAAUAAAGGUAUUGUGACCAUCUGCAACCCCCCCGCCAAAAAAAAAAAGAUGUUGCCUCUGGUUUGCAGAUAGGAAAGCUGAAUAGGAGAAAAAAACUUGCCCAAAGCAAUGGAGAUAACGAUUCAGUUUUUGUAUGACUAAUGACUAAAGAGCCUGUGUUCAACCAUUGAGCCAUUUGUUUUAUUUAGAUACAGCGUCUUGGUACCUUGCUAAGUUGCUGAGGCUGGCUUUGAACUUGUGAUCCUCCUGCCUCAGCCUCCUAAAAUGCUGGGAUUAUGGGUGUGUACCACCAUACCUCUCCUGAGCUUUUCUUUUUCAAAAUUCUGUUUUGUUGAAACAUUUUAGUCUAGUCUUUUAUCAAAACUCAGUGUUUUGUUGAAACAUUUAAAUCUAGAGUGAUCAUUAAAAUAUUUUAACAUUUCUGAAACA